GCCCCAGUGGCUUAGUCGGCAGAGCGGCUGACUUGUAAUCAGCAGGUCCCGUGUUCAAAUCACGGCUGGGGCU
RNAcentral lists this transfer RNA (73 nucleotides) under Methanolinea sp. RNAcentral's name for it is "tRNA-Thr". It matches the Rfam family "tRNA". Rfam says of the family: Transfer RNA (tRNA) molecules are approximately 80 nucleotides in length. Their secondary structure includes four short double-helical elements and three loops (D, anti-codon, and T loops). Further hydrogen bonds mediate the characteristic L-shaped molecular structure. tRNAs have two regions of fundamental functional importance: the anti-codon, which is responsible for specific mRNA codon recognition, and the 3' end, to which the tRNAs corresponding amino acid is attached (by aminoacyl-tRNA synthetases). tRNAs cope with the degeneracy of the genetic code in two manners: having more than one tRNA (with a specific anti-codon) for a particular amino acid; and 'wobble' base-pairing, i.e. permitting non-standard base-pairing at the 3rd anti-codon position. Lineage: Archaea; Methanobacteriati; Methanobacteriota; Methanomicrobia; Methanomicrobiales; Methanoregulaceae. The record is from RNAcentral.